Molecule: ribosomal RNA, 285 nt
Filed under: Triticum aestivum (bread wheat)
Lineage: Eukaryota; Viridiplantae; Streptophyta; Magnoliopsida; Poales; Poaceae
Description: partial small subunit ribosomal RNA
Source: RNAcentral
AUGGCGGAAGCUUUAGCUCUAAAAUUCGGUCUAACACUGGCGCAACGGGCGGGAUGCAAUCGCCUUAUUAUAAAUUCGGAUAAUAUGGAGGUGAUUGAUACUGUGAAUGAUGGAGGACAGUUGGCGUGUGCGGCGGCAGCAAUCUUCGAUGAUUGUUUUCAUUAUGCUUGUGAUUUUGCUACUACUAGAUUUGAGCGCUGUAACGGGGAAGCAAAUAAAGUAGCUCAUGAGCUUGCUAGAUUAGCUAGAUUUUUGUUGACUUCCGAUUCGUUUGAGGAGCCUUAA